This 78-nucleotide transfer RNA is filed under the name Candidatus Peribacteria bacterium RIFCSPHIGHO2_01_FULL_49_38. Its description in RNAcentral is "tRNA-Val". It matches the Rfam family "tRNA". Rfam says of the family: Transfer RNA (tRNA) molecules are approximately 80 nucleotides in length. Their secondary structure includes four short double-helical elements and three loops (D, anti-codon, and T loops). RNAcentral also lists the same sequence under 1 other name. The record is from RNAcentral. Lineage: Bacteria; Candidatus Peregrinibacteriota; Candidatus Peribacteria.
GGGCGGUUAGCUCAGUUGGUCUAGAGCGACUGGUUUACACCCAGUAGGUCACAGGUUCGACUCCUGUACCGCCCACCA